GACGAACGCUGGCGGCGUGCUUAACACAUGCAAGUCGAACGGAAAGGCCCUGCUUUUGUGGGGUGCUCGAGUGGCGAACGGGUGAGUAACACGUGAGUAACCUGCCCUUGACUUUGGGAUAACUUCAGGAAACUGGGGCUAAUACCGGAUAGGAGCUCCUGCUGCAUGGUGGGGGUUGGAAAGUUUCGGCGGUUGGGGAUGGACUCGCGGCUUAUCGGCUUGUUGGUGGGGGAGUGGCUUACCAAGGCUUUGACGGGUAGCCGGCCUGAGAGGGUGGCCGGCCACAUUGCGACUGAGGUACGGACCAGACUCCUACGGGAGGCAGCAGUGGGGAAUAUUGCACAAUGGGCGGAAGCCUGAUGCAGAAACGCCGCGUGCGGGAUGACGGCCUUCGGGUUGUAAACCGCUUUCGCCUGUGACGAAGCGUGAGUGACGGUAAUGGGUAAAGAAGCACCGGCUAACUACGUG
RNAcentral lists this ribosomal RNA (468 nucleotides) under uncultured bacterium. Its description in RNAcentral is "partial 16S ribosomal RNA". It matches the Rfam family "Bacterial small subunit ribosomal RNA", at positions 28 to 507 of the family's 1533-position model. The record is from RNAcentral.